This 155-nucleotide ribosomal RNA is filed under the name Calamus palustris. Its description in RNAcentral is "5.8S ribosomal RNA". It matches the Rfam family "5.8S ribosomal RNA". Rfam says of the family: 5.8S ribosomal RNA (5.8S rRNA) is a component of the large subunit of the eukaryotic ribosome. The record is from RNAcentral. Lineage: Eukaryota; Viridiplantae; Streptophyta; Magnoliopsida; Arecales; Arecaceae.
GACUCCUGGCAACGGAUAUCUCGGCUCUUGCAUCGAUGAAGAACGUAGCGAAAUGCGAUGCUUGGUGUGAAUUGCAGAAUCCCGUGAACCAUCGAUCCUUUGAACGCAAGUUGCGCCCGAGGCGACCCUGCCGAGGGCAUGCCUGCUUGGGCGUC